AUGGAGCACCAGGGACACGGCACCGGCGAGAAGAAGAGCAUCAUGAGCAAGAUCAAGGAGAAGCUCUCCAGCAGCCACGGUGAUCACCAGCAGGCCGCUGCCACCCACGGGCAGCAGGGACACACCACUACGGCCAUCGAUGGUGCCUACGGGCAGCACGGACACACCGGAGCCACCGGCACUGGGAUGCACGGCGCCGACACGGGCGAGCAGAAGAGCGUCGCGGAGAACAUCAAUGACAAUCUCCCUGUCGGCCAUGGGGACCACCAGCAGACUGGUGGCACCGACGGGCAACAGGGACACACCGCCGCGGCGACGCAUGGUGCCUCAGCCAUCGGCGGCACCUAUGGCCAGCAGGGUAACACCGGUAUGGGGACACUUGGCGCCCCGGCCGCUGAUGGUGCGUACGGGCAGCAGGGACACACUGGGGCCACCGGCACGGCGAUGCACGGCGGCGGCACGGGCGAGAAGAAGGGCGUCAUGGAGAACAUCAAUGACAAGCUCCAUGGUGGUCAUGAGGACCACCAGCAGACUAGUGGCACCUACGGGCAGGAGGGACACACUGAUGCGGCGACGCAUGGCGCCUCAGCCACCAGCGGCACCUAUGGGCAGCAGGAAAACACCGGGACACACCGAAAUGUCCGGCACGGGGACGCACGCAUCAGCCAGAAAAAGGACGUGAUGGAGGACAUCAAGGCCAAGCUCCCAGGUGGCCAUGAUGAUCGCCAUCAGACCGGUGACACCUAUGGGCAGCAUGGACACACCAACACUGCAAUACAUGUCACCCUUGCCACCGGCGACACCUAUGGGCGGCAGGGACACACCAGGAUAACCGACAUGGGAACAUACGGCACCGGCGAGAAGAAGGGCGCCAUGGAGAAGACCAAGGAGAAGCUCCCCAGUGGCCACGGUGACCACCAACAGACUGGUGGCACCUACGGGAGCCAGGAAGACACCGAAAUGACUGGAAUGGGGAUGCAUAGCACCAAGGCCACAGAUGGCACAGAUGGAUAUGGAGCAUUGUUCCAAACCCUAGCUUUGUCUAACAAGGGGAAGCUCCCCGGCGGCCAUGAUGACCACCAGCAGACUACUCGCACCAACGGGCACCAUGUUGGCACGGGGACGCAUGACAACCCUGCCACCGAUGACACCUAUGGGCAACAUGAACACCCCGGAGUGACCGGCACAGAGGCAUACAGCACCGGCGGCACAGGCGAGAAGAAGGGCAUUGUGGAGAAUACGAAGGAGAAGCUCCCCGGUGGCUACAAUGACCGCCAGCAAACCGGUGACACCUACGGGCAGCAGGGACACACCGGCACUAUGACGCAUGGCACCCCGUCCACCUGUGGCACCUACGGGCAGCACGGACACGCCGGACUGACCGACAUGGGAACCCAGGGCACCGGCAGCACCGACAAGAAGGAUGUCAUGGACAACAUCAAGGAGAAGCUCCCUGGUGGCCACGGUGACCACCAGCAGACCGCUGUCACCUACGGGCAGCAUGGACACACUGGAAUGACUGGCACGGAGACGCAUGGCACCACGGCCACCGACGACGGGAAGCAAGGACACAACGGAACAACUGGCACUGGGACACACGGCACCGACGGGACCGGUGAGAAGAAGAGCCUCAUGGAAAAGAUCAAGGAGAAGCUGCCUGGACUGAACUAA
This 1671-nucleotide ribosomal RNA is filed under the name Triticum aestivum (bread wheat). RNAcentral's name for it is "partial small subunit ribosomal RNA". Lineage: Eukaryota; Viridiplantae; Streptophyta; Magnoliopsida; Poales; Poaceae. The record is from RNAcentral.